RNAcentral lists this transfer RNA (73 nucleotides) under Chloroflexota bacterium. Its description in RNAcentral is "Chloroflexi bacterium (sediment metagenome) tRNA-Met". It matches the Rfam family "tRNA". Rfam says of the family: Transfer RNA (tRNA) molecules are approximately 80 nucleotides in length. Their secondary structure includes four short double-helical elements and three loops (D, anti-codon, and T loops). Lineage: Bacteria; Bacillati; Chloroflexota. The record is from RNAcentral.
GGCGAGGUAGCUCAGUCGGCAGAGCAGGGGACUCAUAAGCCUCGUGUCGUGGGUUCGAAUCCCACCCUCGCCA